Molecule: non-coding RNA, 31 nt
Filed under: Rattus norvegicus (Norway rat)
Lineage: Eukaryota; Metazoa; Chordata; Mammalia; Rodentia; Muridae
Source: RNAcentral
UAUUCUAUUCUAUUUGCCUAUGAAUUUCAUA